RNAcentral lists this long non-coding RNA (604 nucleotides) under Elaeis guineensis (African oil palm). RNAcentral's name for it is "long non-coding RNA (EGUI_LNC024430)". Lineage: Eukaryota; Viridiplantae; Streptophyta; Magnoliopsida; Arecales; Arecaceae. The record is from RNAcentral.
UAGCUGCUUUCUCCUGCUUUCAACACAUUUGAAUAAAAUUUUUUGAUCUAUAAAUUUAUCCCAAAGAAGCUUAUGAUUUAUCUUUCUCUCUUUCAACUUCUUCUUCAGGUGCUCCACCUCCAAUCUGAUCUCCUGGACUCUCGAGAGCAACUCUGAGGAGGUUUGAACUCCCUUGGAAGUGGAGCGCCCAUCUCCUUGAGGAGCUCUCUCCUCACGGCUCAUCCCUUUGGAGAUUCUGACCCUCUUGGAUGGAGCACCACAGGGGCUCCUUUGAGAGUGAGUUUCAAGACAAAGAGAACCUCUUCUUGCUUCAAGUGUCUUCCUCAGGUGCUCUAGGCCAUCACGGGUCUAGCGAUAGUCUCUCUCAGUCUUAGACCUCUAUCUUUUAAGAGUUUUAAUCCUCCCUUCGAGGUCUUCAACCUUCUUGGUGGUCUUAGAUUUCUAUUGUUCGAGGGCCUCAAUCUAUCUUUUAGCCUACCGUAGUUCUUCAUCCCGAUGGAGAAUCGACUCCUGGAUCUCUUGAAGAAUCUCCUCUAUAAAGUUGAGCUCCUUAGCCAGCUCAGUAUUAUCCCUCUCUAGAUGCUCUAACCAAUACUUCAGCAAG